UUUGCAGUUUUAAGACGGUUCCUUAACCCUCUGAGCAGAGGAUAGCACAUUUUUAGCUACAUUUCACCUCCAAAAAGUGAAUAUGACACCGAAUUGGAAAAACAAGGGGUUUAACUUAUUCACUGUCAUCAGCCGAUUUAGAAUAUUACAUUUAUAUAUUUGAUUUAUUUAUUUAUUUAACUAGGCAAGUCAGUUAAGAACAAAUUCUUAUUUACAACAACUACCUAGGAACAGUAGGUUAACUGCCUUGUUCAGGGGAGGAAUGACAGAUUUUUACCUUGUCAGCUCGGGGAUUCUAUCUAGCAACCUUUCGGUUACUGGCUCAACACUCUAACCACUAGGUUACCUGCCACCCCCGGUAGCCUAGUCAUCCUUGCAUGUUCCUUUGAAGAGAUAUUGAAGAGCAAAGUCUGAAUCUUUAAGUCGGAACUCCGACUGGGAAAACAACUUUUGAACGGUCAUCCAACUCGGAAUUCCAAGUCGGGAACUCGGGCCUCUUCCUUGUGCUCUGACCUGAAGAUCACUGACGUCAUGAUUCAACCUUGUUUUUUCCGAGUUCCCAGUUGUCUUGAAAGCACCAUAAAUCCAGAGAAUGCCAGACUUUGAUGACAAAUUUUGAUGACAAACCGCCGCUACACCUUCCUUUUCAAGAGAGCACAGCACAACAAGCUCUAGGCAGACAGCACGUCAGGAAUGCUGUAAGACAUCAGAGACAGAUGCCUGGCCUUUUCUUGUUCUUGGAGGUUGGCUCUGAUGUUUCAGCCUCUUCUGGAGCUUCUAGCUGCUGGCUGUCUGGC
Salvelinus fontinalis (brook trout) is the source of this 797-nucleotide long non-coding RNA. RefSeq lists it as uncharacterized. The transcript has 3 exons. The record is from RefSeq and is a predicted model, not a curated record. Lineage: Eukaryota; Metazoa; Chordata; Actinopteri; Salmoniformes; Salmonidae.